Molecule: non-coding RNA, 899 nt
Organism: Dermacentor albipictus
Lineage: Eukaryota; Metazoa; Arthropoda; Arachnida; Ixodida; Ixodidae
Source: RefSeq, a predicted model, not a curated record
GAACGAUCAGAAAGCUAUAUUUUUAAAGCAGCAGCUGCAAUGCCUGAAUGAAAAAAAACCACCACUGGACAGAAGCCACAAUCCGACAGGCAAUACUGUGGCAUGCAAAGUCACCAUGCGGCUAUGAAAUGCUGCGGCGGUCAGGAUGCCUCACUCUUCCAAGCCGUACGACACUCAAGCGCUACGUAGGGUGCUGCAACGGCGAAGUUGUUUCUUCACUAAUGAAACAAAGAUUGCACCAAGAAAGCGCACGCCUGUCCGAACGAGAAAAGAUGGGUUCCUUAGUCGUGGAUGAAAUGUUGCUAAAGCAGGCUGCGACAUACGAAAAAAAGGCAGACAGGAUUCAUGGACUAAUUGAAAUGGGAGGUCUGGAGAAGGAACUCGGAAUUGAAAAUGAACUAGCCACACACCUUCUCGCUUUUGUGUUCGUCGGGCUGUCGACGCACUACACCCUCCCGGUCGGAUAUUACUUCACGCAGUCUAUAAAAGGGGAUCAAUUGCACCGACUAGCACUCCAAGUCAUGAGGUCCAUUGAAGAAGCGGGCUUUCAAGUUCUCCGGCUUGCAGCCAACAACCACGCAUCUAACUGCAAGAUGUUUGCCAUAUUCGGAAGUGGUCAAAUAAUUCCAGUCGUGCCACACCCUUUGGACACCAAUCGGAAGUUGUUCCUAGCUUUCGACCACUGCCAUAUCCUCAAAAACCUCCGCAACCAGUUGAUAUCCACCAACAGAGUGCUGUGCAACGGCGGACAGUACUACAGCCCGAAAUAUUUAAAAAUGCUACUGGACAUAAUAGAAAGACAACCUUCAUUCAAGCUUGUGCGGAACCUGACACGGAAACAUGUGUACCCGACAAACUUCGAGAAGAUGAGCGUGAAGAGGGCCCUAGACGUGUUCUCC